AGUUGGGGCCCAGGGUUGAAUCACAGACGCUUUUGUUCGGGGCUCCCCGUUCCCGCGGAGGCCUGCUGUCGAUCAAGAAGCACGCCCCGCCCCCCUCGGCCUUUCACUGCUGCAGCUGGCUGCUCGCCGUCUGCUCUCUGCAAUCUGUGCUGGAGGCCGAAGGAGCGGCAGCUUCAAUAUUACACCCGGCCUACAGACGCUUAUGACGCUCGCCACCAAAGAUCACAAAUAACACGAGCGUUCGGAAAAGUUGAAGAUGCUGUUUGGGUUGGCGAAGUUGACUAGCCAGCGGACCCGUUGAGAAAUCAAAAUGGCUUCCAUCUUUGUCGUCUCGGCAGAGAGGUUUAUACCUUUGUUUCCCCGUCUCGCAUGUCAGGGAGUCUGUGAGUAACCUCAUUUUUAUAUACUUAUCUAGUGGAUUAUUGUCAAUCGAACCUUCGAAUGAAGAGUUUGGGUGUUUACUUCACUGGUUUUUAUUUAUUUUGUUACUUACCCAGUAGCGCACUUUUUGCCCACGUCAGUGCGGUGGGGGAGGGGAGGUGAGUCUGUGGGCGGAGCCUGUGUGAUACGUGCACUGUGGAUGAAUUAUCCAUUGCCCCCUUCGCUGUAAGUUUGAUUUAGUUUAGAGUUUAGACUAUAGCUACUUGAAGAAUUGUUUACUGAUUUUUUUCUUCUUCAUUCAUUUCUUUUGAUUUGUUCUGUGCCACCACUUGCAAUGUAGAAUUCCAGUUUCCUCAAACUGAAACUGUUAUACCUAAGAGCACAUGGAGAUCUGAAAUUCUUUCUGGAUAUAGAGUGCUGCAGGAAUGACACAUUUUUGUAACGUUAGGCCAUUCUAGAAGUUGGCAUCAUACUGGUUCCCUUGAAAGAAAAAAAAAAACUAAAAGGAUUUUUUCACUGACUUCUGGAUAAUUGCAAAAAAUAAGCGAAGUGAACAAUGAAAGUUUAUGAUUCUCAUAUGUUUUGCUCAUUAUUAUAAUCUUUAAUAAUAAUCACAGAUGAACAGCUUUGAUGACUAAAUGCAAUCCGCUGAAAUAAAAAGCUAUAUAAACAAACUACA
Cyprinus carpio (common carp) is the source of this 1060-nucleotide long non-coding RNA. Lineage: Eukaryota; Metazoa; Chordata; Actinopteri; Cypriniformes; Cyprinidae. The record is from Ensembl.